AACGAAAGAUUGACGAUUGGUAAGAAUCCACAACAAGUUGUUCUUCAUAGAUGUAUCUGAGGGUCUGUAGCUCAGUUGGUUAGAGCACACGCUUGAUAAGCGUGGGGUCACAAGUUCAAGUCUUGUCAGACCCACCAUGACUUUGACUGGUUAAAGUUAUAGAUAAAAGAUACAUGACUGAUGAUGUAAGCUGGGGACUUAGCUUAGUUGGUAGAGCGCCUGCUUUGCACGCAGGAGGUCAGGAGUUCGACUCUCCUAGUCUCCACCAGAACUUAAGAGAAGUUCGGAUUACAGAAAUUAGUAAAUAGAGAUUUAGAUCUUGGUUUAUUAACUUCUGUGAUUUAAGUAUCACGGUAUUAAGCAUGACCUGACGAAGGCGUGUUUAUUCAUUAACAGAUUGGCAAAAUUGAGUCUGAAAUAAAUUGUUCACUCAAGAGUUUAGAUUAAGCAAUUAAUCUAGAUGAAUUGAGAACUAGCAAAUUAACUGAAUCAAGCGUUUUGGUAUAUGAAUUUAGAUUGAAGCUGUACAGUGUUUAAGUACACAGACAACAGAUAGUAGCGAUGAAGAAUCGCACGGACAACACUCACUUGUAGGUGUUGACGACUGUUUGGGGUUGUAUAGUCAAGUAAUUAAGUGCAUGUGGUGGAUGCCUUGGCA
This 658-nucleotide transfer RNA is filed under the name Acinetobacter pittii. Its description in RNAcentral is "partial may contain 16S ribosomal RNA, 16S-23S ribosomal RNA intergenic spacer, and 23S ribosomal RNA". The stretch from base 61 to 134 matches the Rfam family "tRNA". The record is from RNAcentral. Lineage: Bacteria; Pseudomonadati; Pseudomonadota; Gammaproteobacteria; Moraxellales; Moraxellaceae.